This 34-nucleotide ribosomal RNA is filed under the name Lentinula edodes (shiitake mushroom). Its description in RNAcentral is "partial 25S rRNA". Lineage: Eukaryota; Fungi; Basidiomycota; Agaricomycetes; Agaricales; Omphalotaceae. The record is from RNAcentral.
GCNUGACCUCAAAUCAGGUAGGAUUACCGCUGAA